UACAGAGGUCCCGAGCGUUGUUCGGAUUCACUGGGCGUAAAGGGUGCGUAGGUGGUGGGGUAAGUCUGAUGUGAAAUCUCCAGGCUCAACCUGGAAAUGGCAUUGGAAACUACCCUGCUGGAGGGUUGGAGGGGGGACUGGAAUACUUGGUGUAGCAGUGAAAUGCGUAGAUAUCAAGUGGAACACCAGUGGCGAAGGCGAGUCCCUGGACAACUCCUGACACUGAGGCACGAAAGCCAGGGGAGCAAACAGG
This 253-nucleotide ribosomal RNA is filed under the name uncultured bacterium. RNAcentral describes it as "partial 16S ribosomal RNA". It matches the Rfam family "Bacterial small subunit ribosomal RNA", at positions 524 to 776 of the family's 1533-position model. The record is from RNAcentral.